Long non-coding RNA from Apis cerana (Asiatic honeybee), 3506 nucleotides. RefSeq lists it as uncharacterized. Lineage: Eukaryota; Metazoa; Arthropoda; Insecta; Hymenoptera; Apidae. The record is from RefSeq and is a predicted model, not a curated record.
GAUGGAGCAAAGUGAUUGGAGUGAGGAGUGUGCGGCUGGCCACGGGCGCAGCGAGACCCGUAUAAGGAUGGAGGAACACAGAUCGGCCGUUUAAACCCUCGCAAACCCUGCUACGUAUCUAGUUAUUUAAGUUCGCCGCGGAUAAAAGGAGAGAGCGUGUAAUUUAUGGCCAGCGUGGAUACACCGUCCAAGGGGGUGAGAAACCGAGGGAAGAGAAGACGGAAUAAAAAUGAGACGAUGCUCGGCGACGGAAGAAGAAGAAGAAAAGUGGUGGCAGUGACGGUCGUGGGGAGUAGUGGGGAGAAUGGAAUGGAGUGGGGAUACGGAAGUAGCCGAAGUCGAUCGGUAGCUACUGUGAUUUGGAUGCGUUUUUCUUCUUCUCGCGUCGAAAGUAUUCGUUUGUAUCAAGAACAGUCCCGUUCCAUUUGCGGAAUUAAUCAAUUCUGACGUUAAAUAAUAUCGUAGCAUUGAAUUACCGUCUUUUUUUAACAAAUUAAUGAUAAUUAUCGGUUCCUAUUUUUCAGAUCGAAGUGACAACGAUUAGAAAUUGGAUUUGUCAUAUGAAGCGAUUACGAUUUUAAUGAUAGAAAGUUUCGCGUAUUCGUCCAUGAUAAAUACUGUAUUUUUAUCUUUCCAUUUUAUUUGGAAUCGUAUAUUUUUGGUCAGAAGUAAGCAAAUUCAACGGAAGCAAGAAACAAAAGCGUUAAUUUCUAACAGGUUCAAUUUUGCCGGUCAGUUUCGAGUCAUUGUAGCGAGAAAUAUCGGAUCCAUGGAGAGCUGAGGUUAGCACGCGUCCAAACAACGUAAUUAAAAGUUUCGUGUGCCACUAGCCUCGAUAAACUCUCGUCGGUCCCAAGUCAAUAGACGAGAGCCCGGGUUGGUUAAUUACUCGCCGAAAUGUGCGUUCUUACAGAAAUAAUUAGCCGCAGCGUGUGCGCGUGCAAACAAUCAAGGGAACGAGGAAAACAUCAGCGGUGAACUUGCGGCCAUUGCUACGUCGUAAUAACUCGUCAAAAAACUCAACCAACCGGAUAUAAUGCGUGAUGACCAUUCGGCGGCUCGUUUCUUCCACAAUUCUCUUCAGCGUUAUUGCAAAUUGAACAAAUUUCUCUAAGAGAGAGAGAGAAUAAAAGAGAAAACGAAAAGAAAAAUUGAUACAGUCAGUGCGAAUAGAGGAAGCAGCAGCAAGAGACUAUUGACGAGGCACACUUGUUGAACGCGUGGUUUAUCUUCGACCAUAGAUCACUCAGGCUCCACCAUUUCUCCUCUUAUACGUAUGCGCUCUCCUUUUCUUAGUCAUUUCCUUUUCCGCUAACUUGCCGUAUAACUUGCUCAGGCACGUCUUUGAAGGAUGCUCGUGCCAAUAUCCACUAUUUAUGACAAAAGACACGCAAUUCGUGGAUAUUUCUCAAAUGGAAUUUAUUCUAUUAUUUCUUUUAUCUACUUUCAGUUGUUAUCUACAAUUGCUUAUGAAAUUAUUCAUAUUCCUUUAGCUUUCGUAUGAGUUUCGUGUUUGUUGCUUGAUAUAUCUUGAUUUUUGCAUGAAUUUUAAUUAAAUGGAAAAUAAUAAUUUAAUACGAGAAAAUAUUGCGAUUCUAAGAUUGCCAGUUGCGAUGAUAUAAAUAUUCGCAAAGAUUGUUAAAAAAAUAACAAUUCCAAGAUCAUUACAUCGCAAUUACAACAAUUAUUAUUUCGUAUAAUUACGUUUAAUAUCAGAAAAGGGGGCAACUAAACUACCAAAGAUAUCGCAUGGAUUACUUUCCAAAGAGAGAAUUAUCAUUCGGCAUAAGAGAGGUGCAAUUCGAUCCAAUAAAAAGUAAACUCACAGAUUGUAUCAGUGAUUUCUAGAAUUGUAUCCAGCUCUAGAUAUGAUUAGAAAAUAACGGCAUAACUAUAAUUAUUGAAAAAAAAAUGGCAAUUCAACAAAACGAAAAUUAUUCCAAUCGUAAAUUCCUGAAAGGGAUAAAAUACAAUGCAAUAAAACAAGAUUAUUAUUGCAAUUGUAAGAAUUGCUCUUUAAAAUGAAACUAAGAAAUAGCGAUUGGUGAGAAAUUACAAAAGUGAUCGGGUAGCAUUUUUCCGGAAUUUUUCACGUUGGCGAACGAGUAUCACGAUGUCGUUAAGAGAAUGGAUCCUAUGAAGGAAUCGGCGGCGUGCCAAAGGAAAUUACGAAUUACUAAAACGAUGUAUGGCAUCGUGUGUGACGACAACGUGCCAUUGCACACCUAACGGAUUGAUGCGAAACAAGUUUCUUAGUGUCUCCCCAUUGAGAUCUGACAUUUAACAUUCUCGUCAUAAUUGUCGUGAUGGCCGUAGAUCGUCAAUUUUCCAUUAAAAAAAAAUUUCUCUUAGAAAUUUUCUCAUAAUAUGAUUAAUUUUCAUUUUCUCGAUCUUUACGCAACAACCUUAAAUCCUCGUUAAUUUAAUAAGGUAAUACAUAGCAUUUUAAAAUUAAAUUUUUUAACAGAGCACCGUGAAAUAUUAUUAUAUUGAAGCAUUAAAAUUUAAGUGUAACAUCUGAUUCUUGUAUCACUUUUUUUUAACCAAAACAAUUCAAAGAAUAAAUUUAUCGAUUCAAAGAACUUAUUGAUUUAAAAUUCGUUUGAAGAUUAUCUUCUUUUCAGAAAAAUAAAAACGAAUGCUAUAGACGAUCAACUACGAAUAUAUUUCUUAUUUUUAUUUUAAAAAAGCAAAUCUUCAAGCAAACCAAAAAAAAAUUUCCUUCUCAAUAAAACCGAAAUACGAAUUUUAUAUAGACGAUUUAUCUAUCUGAUUGCAAUUAAAAUUAAAUCUGACUAACCCAGAUAUAUCUACGUGCACAAAACUAUAUAUUGGAGAAAAAAAGGAGGAAAAGAAAAAAAGGAACAGAAUAAUGGUUUACACGUAAUGAGAGUAGCGAGUUUGGAAGAAAAGCAACGAUGAUUUCGGGGAAAAGUAAGAGAAGGAAAGAGAAAGGAUUCGAACAAAAACCAGAAAUAAAGAAACGUAUCGUACUGAUAUUCUGCCGAGGAAGACAGAAACGGAGACAGAGACGGAGAGAGAGAGAGUCGUAACCUUCCCUGAGAGCUAGCCUCUUCGUUAUGACAAUAUAUCUGGGACCCGAAGGAAACAUUGGCCGAGAAAUCCUGAAGGUAUGCUCCGAAAGCUUGCGCCACGGCGGUCUCCUUUGUCGGAGAUUCUUCGAGCGAGAGGAAGAAGCCGUGCGUAGAAGAGGGCACAGCCUAACCCCCUCUCCACGUCGUUGGGCCGCGAAAAACGAGAAGUUUGGAAUCACCGAUUGCAUUCAAACAAGGAAGGAUAAUAAGACAAUUCCAUUCAGGCAAAGAUAUUAAAACCAAUCUACUCUCAAUAACAAAUUAAACAAAUUGCAUACUAUUAUGUUUUUAGAAUUUUUAACUCUUUCUGAAUAAAUACUAUAACAACAUCAAAGUUACAAUUAAAUGAAAUUGAAUUAAGUUAAAUUAAACUUUAAUAUACAUAAUAUUCAAUUAUUAGUAAUAAAAUUU